Molecule: long non-coding RNA, 802 nt
Filed under: Zonotrichia albicollis (white-throated sparrow)
Lineage: Eukaryota; Metazoa; Chordata; Aves; Passeriformes; Passerellidae
Description: lncRNA (ENSZALG00000000107.1)
Source: RNAcentral
AUGUUGUGUUUUCACUUCUGUGUGCUUGGCACUGGGGCAGAGCUGGCACACUGUGGGGCUCCCAGUGCUCCCAGUUUGGCCUGUGUUGGUGCCAGUGCAGUGUCCCUGGCACUGGGGCAGAGCUGGCACUCUGUGGGGCUCUCAGUGCUCCCUGUUUGGCCUGUGUUGGUGCCAGUUGUGUCCCUCCCUCAGGACUCCUUGUGCCCUCUGCUUCCAGGCUGCUCCAGCUUGCCAAGAACCACAGAGGAGCCUCCUGCGGCUGCGGGGCUGCGGGCCAGGGCUCGCCCUUCCUCCAGAUCCCACCCUCCUCCUCCUUCUCCUCCCUGCCUGCUGUGCACAGAACCAGCCCCUCCGAGCAGAGGGCUGAGCAAACAGCGAACGCCAGGGCAAUGUCCAAGCCCUGCCCCCUGCCCGGCUGAGCACGGCGACCUGGGGACACCGGCACGGCCCCUCAGACGUCACCUGUCCCUCUGUGUGUGGGUGAGGACAAGCAGGGACAUCUCCCGGGACAGCAGGGAGAGCUGCUGCAUCCUAGAGACGGGAGGGGACACUGGGGACAGCCCUGUCCUUAUCGGAGCAGCUGGUGACUCCACCGCCUGUCCCUGGCAGAGCAUCCCCUGCUAGGCCAUGGCAGCCCAGCCGGCCGGGGGCCAGAAGCCCCAGAAGCCCUUCCACAUCGUCACACCCGUCCUGGAGAGCCUGUCCCUCUCCAAGGCCGCGGGCACCAAGGUCUUCAUGAAGAUGGAGAACGUCCAGCCCUCGGGAUCCUUCAAGAUCCGGGGCAUCGGGCACCUGUGCCAGG